GACGAACGCUGGCGGCAUGCUUAACACAUGCAAGUGGUGCGACGAACCUUUUAGGGGCAAAGCCGCGAACGGGUGAGUAACACGUGGGCAAUCUGCCCAGUAGACCGGAAUAACUCAAGGAAACCUGAGCUAAUACCGGAUGUGCCGUACUUCCAUCAGGAGGUCCGGUAAAGAGAGCUUCGGCUAUUCGCUAUUGGAGGAGCCUGCGGAGUAUUAGGUAGUUGGUGGGGUAAAGGCCUACCAAGCCGACGAUACUUAGCUGGUCUGAGAGGACGAUCAGCCACACUGGAACUGAGACACGGUCCAGACUCCUACGGGAGGCAGCAGUGGGGAAUCUUGCACAAUGGGCGACAGCCUGAUGCAGCAAUGCCGCGUGAGGGAAGACGGCCUUCGGGUUGUAAACCUCUUUCAGUUGGGAAGAAGGGUGGACGGUUAAUAGCCGGCUCACUUGACGGUACCUUCAGAAGAAGCUCCGGCUAACUACGUGCCAGCAGCCGCGGUAAUACGUAGGGAGCAAGCGUUGUCCGGAAUCAUUGGGCGUAAAGCGCGUGUAGGCGGUUACAUAAGUCUGUUGUGAAAGUCGGAGGCUCAACCUUCGAAAGCCGAUGGAUACUGUGUGACUUGAGUACGGAAGAGGAGAGUGGAAUUCCUGGUGUAGCGGUGAAAUGCGCAGAUAUCAGGAGGAACACCAACGGCGAAGGCAGCUCUCUGGGACGUUACUGACGCUGAGACGCGAAAGCGUGGGGAGCAAACAGGAUUAGAUACCCUGGUAGUCCACGCCGUAAACGAUGGUCACUAGAUGUGGGGGGGUGUCGACUCCCUCCGUGUCGUAGCUAACGCGUUAAGUGACCCGCCUGGGGAGUACGGCCGCAAGGCUAAAACUCAAAGGAAUUGACGGGGACCCGCACAAGCAGCGGAGCAUGUGGAUUAAUUCGACGCAACGCGAAGAACCUUACCUGGGCUUGACAUACUGCUGACCUCCAUGGAAACAUGGACUUCCUUCGGGACAGCAAUACAGGUGGUGCAUGGCUGUCGUCAGCUCGUGUCGUGAGAUGUUGGGUUGAGUCCCGCAACGAGCGCAACCCCCGUCCUAUGUUGCCAGCAUUCAGUUGGGGACUCAUAGGAGACUGCCGGUGACAAACCGGAGGAAGGUGGGGAUGACGUCAAGUCAUCAUGCCCCUUAUGUCCAGGGCUUCACACGUGCUACAUUGGCGCAUACAGAGGGCUGCGAUACCGCGAGGUGGAGCGAAUCCCAAAAAGUGCGUCUCGGUUCGGAUUGAAGGCUGAAACUCGCCUUCAUGAAGGCGGAGUUGCUAGUAAUCCCAGAUCAGCAAUGCUGGGGUGAAUACGUUCCCGGGUCUUGUACACACCGCCCGUCACACCACGAAAGCAAGCAACACCCGAAGUCGGUGAGCUAACUCGCAAGAGAGGCAGCCGCCGAAGGUGGGGCUCGUGAUUGGGGUG
This 1464-nucleotide ribosomal RNA is filed under the name uncultured bacterium. RNAcentral describes it as "partial 16S ribosomal RNA". It matches the Rfam family "Bacterial small subunit ribosomal RNA". The record is from RNAcentral.